RNAcentral lists this ribosomal RNA (253 nucleotides) under uncultured bacterium. Its description in RNAcentral is "partial 16S ribosomal RNA". It matches the Rfam family "Bacterial small subunit ribosomal RNA", at positions 524 to 776 of the family's 1533-position model. The record is from RNAcentral.
UACGUAGGCAGCAAGCGUUGUUCGGAAUUACUGGGCGUAAAGAGUGUGUAGGCGGUGCUCUAAGUCUGUUGUGAAAUCUCCCGGCUUAACUGGGAGGGUGCGGCGGAAACUGGAAUGCUAGAGGAUGGGAGAGGUAAGCGGAAUUCCUGGUGUAGCGGUGAAAUGCGUAGAUAUCAGGAGGAACACCUGUGGUGUAGACAGCUCUCUGGCUUCACCCUGACGCUGAGGCGCGAAAGCGUGGGGAGCGAACGGG